GACGAACGCUGGCGGCGUGCUUAACACAUGCAAGUCGAACGGUAAGGCCCUUCGGGGUACACGAGUGGCGAACGGGUGAGUAACACGUGGGUGAUCUGCCCUGCACUUCGGGAUAAGCCUGGGAAACUGGGUCUAAUACCGGAUAGGACCACUGCCUGCAUGGGUGGUGGUGGAAAGCUUUUGCGGUGUGGGAUGGGCCCGCGGCCUAUCAGCUUGUUGGUGGGGUGAUGGCCUACCAAGGCGACGACGGGGAGCCGGCCUGAGAGGGUGCCCGGCAAAACUGGGACUGAGAUACGGCCCAGACGCCUACGGGAAGCAGCAGUGGGGAAUAUUGCACAAUGGGCGCAAGCCUGAUGCAGCGACGCCGCGUGAGGGAUGACGGACUUCGGGUUGUAAACCUCUUUCAGCACCGACGAAGCGCAAGUGACGGUAGGUGCAGAAGAAGGACCGGCCAACUACGUGCCAGCCGCCGCCGUAA
This 478-nucleotide ribosomal RNA is filed under the name uncultured bacterium. Its description in RNAcentral is "partial 16S ribosomal RNA". It matches the Rfam family "Bacterial small subunit ribosomal RNA", at positions 28 to 523 of the family's 1533-position model. The record is from RNAcentral.